CGUGAAGCCUAGUACCUAGUAUUGGGUGGAAAGUGGCGAACGGGUGAGUAACACGUUGGUGACCUGUCCCGAGGAGGGGCAUAACUGUGGGAAACCAUAGCUAAUACCCCGGAUGUCUAGGUUGUUAGAGGGCCUAGACUAAAGCUCCGGCGCCUUGGGAGGGGCCUGCGGGCUAUCAGCUUGUUGGUGGGGUAAUGGCCUACCAAGGCUAAGACGGCUAGGGGGCGUGAGAGCGCGACCCCCCACAAUGGAACUGAGACACGGUCCAUACUCCUACGGGAGGCAGCAGUGAGGAAUAUUGCGCAAUGGGGGCAACCCUGACGCAGCAACGCCGCAUGGACGAUGAAGGCCUUCGGGUUGUAAAGUCCUUUUCUGAGGGACGAUAGUGACGGUACCUCAGGAAUAAGUCCCGGCUAACUACGUGCCAGCAGCCGCGGUAAAACGUAGGGGGCGAGCGUUAUCCGGAUUUACUGGGCGUAAAGCGCACGUAGGCGGCGCUGUAAGUUAGACGUGAAAGCUCUCGGCUCAACUGAGAGAGGUCGUUUAAUACUGCAGUGCUUGAGGUUGGAAGAGGAGAGUGGAAUUCCCGGUGUAGUGGUGGAAUGCGUAGAUAUCGGGAGGAACACCAGUGGCGAAGGCGGCUCUCUGGUCCACACCUGACGCUGAGGUGCGAAAGCGUGGGUAGCGAACGGGAUUAGAUACCCCGGUAGUCCACGCUGUAAACGAUGGAUACUAGGUGUAGGAGGUCAUUUACCCCUUCUGUGCCGUAGCUAACGCGUUAAGUACCCCGCCUGGGGACUA
RNAcentral lists this ribosomal RNA (801 nucleotides) under uncultured bacterium. Its description in RNAcentral is "bacterial SSU rRNA". It matches the Rfam family "Bacterial small subunit ribosomal RNA", at positions 67 to 882 of the family's 1533-position model. The record is from RNAcentral.